RNAcentral lists this microRNA precursor (61 nucleotides) under Branchiostoma lanceolatum (amphioxus). RNAcentral's name for it is "Bla-Mir-2057_pre stem-loop". The record is from RNAcentral. Lineage: Eukaryota; Metazoa; Chordata; Leptocardii; Amphioxiformes; Branchiostomatidae.
UGAGAAGUUAGCCAACCAUCCGGCGGGUAUGUGGUACCCGGGUGGUGGUUGACUUCUUCCU